CCCUGGUUAGCUCAGUUGGUAGAGCGCUCCACCUGUAAUGGAGAGGUCCCGGGUUCGAUACCGACCAGGCG
Molecule: transfer RNA, 71 nt
Filed under: Ixodes scapularis (black-legged tick)
Lineage: Eukaryota; Metazoa; Arthropoda; Arachnida; Ixodida; Ixodidae
Rfam family: tRNA
About the family: Transfer RNA (tRNA) molecules are approximately 80 nucleotides in length. Their secondary structure includes four short double-helical elements and three loops (D, anti-codon, and T loops).
Source: Rfam by way of RNAcentral